ACUGUAGAAUCUCAACCUACUAGAAGAGUCUAAGUUUGAAGAAAAAAAUUCAUACUAUUGAUACUAUAUUUCUCUUAUUGAUGGCGGAUGAUUAUUCCCAUUUCUAUAUUAUUAUGACUCAAAAUAGAUUCGAAGAAGUUGCUUUAAAUUGCUUGUUUUCCAUUGACAAUGUCGAGCUUAUGCCAUACUAUGAUUUUUGCUUUACUCAAACCUUGAGGACAAGUUACAUUUUUU
RNAcentral lists this long non-coding RNA (234 nucleotides) under Capsicum annuum. RNAcentral describes it as "long non-coding RNA (CANN_LNC010504)". The record is from RNAcentral. Lineage: Eukaryota; Viridiplantae; Streptophyta; Magnoliopsida; Solanales; Solanaceae.